Molecule: ribosomal RNA, 435 nt
Filed under: uncultured bacterium
Lineage: Bacteria
Description: partial 16S ribosomal RNA
Rfam family: Bacterial small subunit ribosomal RNA
Source: RNAcentral
AACGAACGCUGGCGGCAUGCCUAACACAUGCAAGUCGAACGAUUGCCUUCGGGUGAUAGUGGCGCACGGGUGCGUAACGCGUGGGAAUCUGCCCUUAGGUUCGGAAUAACAGCUGGAAACGGCUGCUAAUAACGGAUGAUAUCGCGAGAUCAAAGAUUUAUCGCCUGAGGAUGAGCCCGCGUUGGAUUAGGUAGUUGGUGGGGUACAGGCCUACCAAGCCGACGAGCCAUAGCUGGUCUGAGAAGAUGAUCAACCACAAGUGGACUGAGACACGGCCCAGACUCCUACGGGAGGCAGCAGUGGGGAAUAUUAGACAAUGGGCGCAAGCCUAAUCCAGCAAUGCCGCGUGAGUGAUGAAGGCCCUAGGGUUGUAAAGCUCUUUUACCCGAGAAGAUAAUGACUGUACCGGGAGAAUAAGCCCCGGCUAACUCCGUG